GAAAAUAGUCCUGUAUUGUGGAGAAGCGGUGAAUCGUGUCAGGUUGGGAACGAAGCAGCACUAAAUCGAUUUCUUCAGGUUUACAGGGUCGCUGUUUUUGAGC
Molecule: signal recognition particle RNA, 103 nt
Filed under: Pseudoleptotrichia goodfellowii F0264
Lineage: Bacteria; Fusobacteriati; Fusobacteriota; Fusobacteriia; Fusobacteriales; Leptotrichiaceae
Description: bacterial signal recognition particle RNA
Rfam family: Bacterial small signal recognition particle RNA
About the family: The signal recognition particle (SRP) is a universally conserved ribonucleoprotein involved in the co-translational targeting of proteins to membranes. Archaeal SRP consists of a 7S RNA and homologues of the eukaryotic SRP19 and SRP54 proteins.
Source: RNAcentral